AGCAUGAGAGUGUUUUCAAGGAUACAUAUCAGAUUGUCCUCACCAUGGAAUGGCCAGAUGGUUACUUAUGCAAACCAUCUACCAUGGAUUAACCCAAAAGUCUCGUGAGUGCUUAGAUGCAUCUGCUAAGGGAUAAUUUUUGGAUCUUACAAUUGGAAAAGCAGAGAUACUUUUGGACAGGAUAGCAGAAAACCAAAGCUUGUUCCAAGAUAAAGCUCAACAUUGUCAUCAAACUGAAGAAAUACCCGAAGAAGUAAAUGCACUAUCAACCAAGAUGGAAAAUUUGCUCCAUCGGCUUGACCAGUGAUGUGACCAUACCAAGGCAAUCAACAUUCAAGCAUCCACUCAAGGUGAAAGCUAAACUUAAUUCCAAAUCAUUUAGGUUUCCAUAUACAAGGCUACUACUUGGUUUAUAUGAUUAUAGAUUCAAACACCUUGCUAUCAUGGAACAAGAAGAUUGCGAUGUUAUCACAACAUUACAAACCGAUGGCCUAGCACAACUCUUUGGAUCAGAAGAGUUAGAGUCGAGGACGACUCCUUAUCAAGAGGGGGAGGAUGAUAUGACCAUGCCAGCAAGCAUGAUGUCACAAGCUCCAAGUCAAGCUACAACCACUCAAGUUUUACCUACACCGACACCAGCCCAAGUCAUCGAUGGACCAGUUACACGAAGUUAUGCAAAGAAGCUACAACAAGAGGUUCACGCGCUACUUUGUGAGGUUCACUUUAACAUUAAUGAGAAUUAUAUACUACCUAAGUGUUCUACAUUGAUUGUACUCAAGUAUAUAGAAGAAGAAAAGAAUGAAUCGGACCCUGAAGAACGGACCAGUGCAAGUCCUAGAAUACAAUACAAAACAGACCAGAGAGUCAAAAACAGACCAGUGGACGUCAAGAACGGACCAGUGCAAAGAAAUCUUCAUAACGUUUUACUCACAAAAGCUAUGAAGGCCCAUGAGGACUUGUUGGAAAGCUUAUCGAGUCUGCUUUCCAAUGCCUCAAGUCCCAUCUCAUUUGGACAAAGCAAUCAACAGUUAUGCUUGAAUUAGUCAAGACUGCUCAGAAGGUCAAUAGUCUAUCGUGACAGAAUGUUGGUACAAAUUACCGUGCAAAACUGUACCAAUAUACAAUGUUUGAUGGUUCAUGGCAUACAUUGCAGGGAAGAUCUUGGAGUCUAGUUUCACACCCAAGAAACGGUUCGUCAUUUGGACUUCCCAAUAAAAAGUUAUGGUCAGUUUAUUGGAAACUACUUUGGAGGCCAACAGUCACAUGAAGCCAGUUCGGGAAUCCAUUCCGAGGAGAACUUCCACAUUGCCUUUCCCCAGAAACUCUAUUUCGUUUUCAUACCUAUCUAGGAGGGUUGUUCCUAGUAUAAAUAUCCCCAACCUCUAAGCUAUCAGUAACUUUUGAUCAUUUGAUAAACUACAUGAUAUUGCAGCCGCGCUGCUGAGUGCCUUACUCAACAUUUGUUCUUCCUUGUUCUUCUUGGACUUGUGAAGUGAAUCCUCUGGGUUCCCCUACUUCGUGCUCUACGGCUUCCGUUCGGCUACGCCGUAUUGUGUGGAAUAGUUCCGAAUUGUGGUUCUACGGUCGUUCGGAGAUCGAGUUGAAGUCUUCAUGGUUUCGGUGCCUCUCUCCCCGUCGCUUGGUCGCAUCCAACCUUUGUCAGGUAUAAAGCUAGUUACCCGCUGUUCGCAGCAAGUUAUCCUUGUUCUUUUGAUCUACUGUCGUGAAGAUCGGGCCACCCUCGUACCGAUUCAUAUAGGUAACCUAUCAACUGGUAUCAAAGCUUUUGUUGUCACGGUAGGUCUCACAAUCAUCCACAUAUCUACCUUUAGUUUAUUUAUCGUUUGUUACUGUUUUAUUCAUCACCUAUAGUCCUCUGAAAAAGCCACAAAAAAUCCUAGAGCCCUUUGACGGUACUGUUAUCUUAUGUUUUGUGUUCAUCAAGUUGCUAGUCACCCUCUUUAUAUAUAUUGUGUUGUGUUUCAUUUGUUAUCGGCACCCCUGUUACUAAAAAAAAGAGUUCAAAAAAAAUAUAGAGAAAAAAAAAUCAGGGAAAGGAAAAGAGAAAGAACAGAAAAGUAGAAGAAGAGGAAAGGGGUUAUAUUGCGGUUUGCUUAGUGAAAAAUUUAGUUUAUAUAUUCAGAUUCUUGGUGAUUUAUAUAUCAGCAAUAUUAUAUCUUUUGAGCACAUCAAAUCACUUGAUUUUCAGUACCGUAGCCUCCCUUGUUUAGCCACCUAUAGCUCCACUCAAAAAAAAUGAAACCAGGACAUUCGACUCGUAAUCCUUGCGACCUCAGAAUCACUUUUGUUCAGCUGCUACACUAGCACAAUUAACUGUCCUUGAGAACAGGAAAGAGCAUUGGUAAGUAAAAGGUGAGAUUGUGUGAUUCCACAAAUUUACCCAUUCCACUAUAUCUUGCAUAAGUGCUAACAUGCCAGGAUCCAAUUCGAGCAUUCGCGGUGGUCGAUAUGGAGAAAAAGAAACAUCGGUUUCACGGGCUGAGUUAUGCCAACUACAAAACUCACUAGUGGAGGCCAUGGAGAAGAUGUUUGAUGAACGUCUUCCUAUGGUGCGCGGUCAGGCUAAACAACAUAGCUCAGCCAACUCUCGCCGUGGUCUCUUUGGCCAUAGUGGACAACAUGGAGGAGGUGCUCAUGGGCAUAGCAUUCGCACCCGUGUGCUCAUUGACGAAGAAGAUUACUGUGUGUCCCCCAAAAGAAAAAUUCAGCAAGGGUGCCAAGAGUUCAAUCAGGACUCGUUUCGGGGAUUAUGCUCCAAAGACCUAAAGGAUCAAGGAUAAUUGUUCAAUCAAUGUCGGUUUGAUCCGAUGGCCCAUAUUCACUUGGAAGGACUAUAAAACCAGACCCCCUGGCCCCUGGAGGAGGGCACCUCUCAACCCUAAUUCAUUAUUCAUCAGGGAGAAGAAGCCUCUGAUCAAGCCUAGAGCCACCACAUCAAUUAGAUAUCUAGAUUAGCAUAGGUACAGAGGAUUAGAACUAGAAGGAGUCAAUCUUCGAUUGGUUUCCGGAUCUGUCAAGAGGAUUCUUGGUAAUUCUCUAUUGUUCUUCAAUUGUUCAUCUUUGUUCUUCGAUAUUAUGAAUAUGACUUUGUUCUACUUCAAUAUAUUGAUUAUGACUUUGCCCUACUUGUUUAUAUUCGCAAUUAUAUUGUUCUUAGUUUAUCGUAGUUAUAUACUUGGCUUAGUUAGAUUGGAAUUAUAUACUUGUUUAGGAUCGUAUAGCGUUUAUCCAUCGGAUCCAUGGGUAAAUGAUAGAUAUGUGUAGGCAUGGUGCUUAUACCGUAUUUAUCUGCGAUUGUACCCUAUAUGCCAGAUCGUGGGGUAGUUCGUGGUAGUGACAGCUCCAUUGAUUCUUAUAUAGUCCCCCUCUCGUGUAUUGGGCUGGCAGAGCAACAUUAUUACAGGGGAGUGCUUGCGAUGUUUCUCAUAUUCCUUGAUAAUAUCACUAUGCAUGGGCGUAGUCCUGUCUCACAAUGAUUGUUAAGUAUAAUUGCACUAACUAUGAUAUGCUAGACUGUAUAGUUAAGAAUAAUUUAGGAAAUAUUCUUGUAGUUCGUCCUAAUACCAUGCUAAUGACUUGCUAGAAUAUCUAAUUGAGGUGCUUAUCAUAUUUAUAUGUGGCUAAGUUAUGCUGAUCAAAUUAAUUAUCUUUGUCAUCAUUCAUUACUUUAUAUAUCCUUUAUGUGACACUUAUCCCUGUAUGAAAGAGUUAGAUAAAUGUUCUCAAUUAUACAUGCAAUGAUAGAUACUCAAUCUUAUAUUCCAUUCUAUAAUCAACAUUGAUGAUUACAAAUCCCUUCCCAGUGGUAAAAAUAUAAAUAACGAUACCUGGAAUACUUCCCGGUUAAAAUGCUACAUCAGUAUUAAUCUGUGCGCUUGCAGAUUCCAUUCAUUAUUUAUUUAGAUGAGCAAUUGCAUAUUUCAAUACCGCAUCUCUCAUGUCAUGUUGGGGAGGAAAACUUGGCUUAAGUGGUAUGAGGGAUAGGUUUGGCAUUUUUGGCGCCGUUAUCAGAAUUAGAAAACUAAGUCUACUUUUGGUAAUGACGUUAAGAAUACCCAACAAGCAUUUUUGGCGCCAUUGCUGGGGAAGGUUGAUUACUAAUCAGGAAUGAAUAUAGGAUUUUGAGUCAUCAUUCGCAUCACUAAUAUGAUUGAGCAUAUCAAUUCUCUCAUACAGUUUUACCCAUAUAUUUUUCUAUUUUAUCUUAUGCAGGGGAAUGUAUGAAUAGAAGACAUCUUCGAGGAAAUUUUAUUGACAAUCCCGAAGCGUUAUUCAGAAAAACAAGAGCCAAGCUCAAAAAGAGAUCAUCAACACUUCAGCACGAAGCUUCAUCCAAUCAAGAAAAUCACCGGAACUUGUCUUCAAAGUUCGAAGUCGUGGUGAACAAAUCGAUCCGUGCGUUCACAGCUCCCACUACGGACAACAUCCGCACUGGACCUGCUGUAGAGAUCAAUGGCAACUUUGAGCUCAAGCCUGGACUUAUCAACAUGGUGCAAUCCAACCAGUUCUGUGGGAAGGCACACGAAGAUGCUAGUGCUCAUCUCCAACACUUCCUGGAGAUUUGCAACACAUUCACCAUAUCAGGAGUCCCCAGAGAUGCUAUACUACUUCGCCUCUUCCUGUUCUCACUGUUGGGGAGAGCGAAGCAGUGGUUCUACACUACAAAGGAGAAGAAUACUACGUGGGCACUCUGCUCCAUGAACUUUCUGGCUAAGUUCUUUCACAUGGGCAAGACCAAUGCUCUCCGUGGGAAGAUUACAAGUUUUCAGCAACAACAUGAUGAAUAUGUUCCAGAAGCAUGAGAGCGCUUCCAAGACUACAUCCUAGAAUGUCCCCAUCAUGGAAUGGAGAGGUGGCUACUGAUGCAGACGUUUUAUCAUGGGCUUAGCAACAGUGCCCGAGAAACCAUGGAUGCUGCAGCUGGAGGAGCAUUCCUAUCACUUACCAUAUCACAAGCCACAGCUCUUGUGGAGAAGAUGGCGUCCAACCAAAGCUAGAAUGAAGAAAGGACCCAGACACGCAAGAGAGGUGGAGGUAUACAUCAGCUCAAGGAGGUAGACAUGUUGUCUGCAAAGCUAGACCUGCUCAUGAAGAAGCUCAAUGAUGGAGCUGGAGAUAAGAAAGAAGUUAUGCACAUCUAUGACUCUCACAUGACUUGUGAGGAGUGUGGAGAUACUGGACAUUCAGGCAAUCACUACCCUGAGAUGCUUGAGGAUGUGAACUACAUCAACAACAACAACUACUACUACUACAACCGUCCUCAACAAAAUCAAGGUUGGAAUCAACAAAGGCCUAACUACUCAGGUAAUUAUCAAGGUAACAAUUCUUACAACAAUAAUAAUAAUAAUUUUCCACCUCUGAGAGAGUUAGUGUCUAAUCAAGGGAAGCUAAUGGAUAACCUAUCUAAGAAAUUGGCAUCUAAUGAUAAAAUGCUAGAAAAUAUAAAUAAUAGAAUGGAUAAUUUCUCUACUGCCAUCAAGAAUCAAAUUAGCUUUAAUAAAAUGAUUGAAUCUCAGUUAAAUCAAAUAGCUGUUGCUGUUCCUGCUACUAACCCCGGUAUACCAUCACAACCGGAAGGAUUAGAAUCUGCAAAUCUUGUAGACAUGUUUGAUGCAGGUAACUACUAGAGUAACCCCAUCAGUGAAGUUACUACUGACCUUUUGCCGGUCAAGAGAGGCGAUCCAGGACGCCCCGUCAUCCCGAUCUCCACCGGCAUGGUGGACUUCCCAGAAGCACUCUGCGACUUUGGCUCUAGCGUCAACAUUAUGCCCAGGGUACUCUAUGAAAAAUUCUUUACAUAUCCUUUAGUAGAAACAACCAUGUGUUUGUAGUUUGCAGAUCAGACAAUAAGUUUUCCAAAAGGAAUAUUGAAGAACCUUUGCGUCAGAGUUGGUACCUUGUACGCCCUAGCAGACUUCGUGGUGAUAGAGACCGGUAAUGAUGAGAGGGCACCCAUCAUCUUAGGGAGGCCAUUCGUGAACACCUCGGGAGCUGUCAUCUACGCUAGUGCUGCCAAAAUCAGUUUCUACAUCAAAGGGAGGAAGGAGACGUUUUUCUUCAAGAACAAGACUAUACAAAUGCUAGAGCAAUCCCGACAUGAACCAAGAAGAGGACCAACAGGAGGAACAGGAACAAGCAAGUGUGGACCGAAUCAGCUAAGAUGGUUACUACAGUUCAUGAGGACAAGAUCAUCGACUUAAGUCACCUUUUCUGACCAAGAAGGAUGACCCAGGAAUGCCAAGCAUCUAUUGCUCCAUAAAUGGAUACAACUUCUACAAGACGACUUGCGACACCGGAUCGAGCGUCAACAUAAUGGCCGCAGUCACCUAUCGGCUCUUGUUCGGAAUCGUGCCCUUAAAACCAACAUACAUUCAGCUCCAGAUGGCAGAUCAUACAUUUUGGGAGGUUAAAGGUAUAGUAACUGAUGUCUCUGUCAAAAUAGACGAUCAUUUUGUCUACACAGACUUUCAGGUUAUUGACAUGGGAGAAGACGAAUACGAUCCACCCGUCAUCCUUGGAAGACCGUUCCUCAGCACUGUUAAAGCAAUCAUCUACAUUGGAACUGGAGAAGUCCAUAUGCACUUCCCCUCAGCGAAGGUACGCCACUAUUUUACUGACCCUAACUAUAUCAUUGAAGACUCUAAGCAGGUCAGAAGAAGAUGACGUAACCGCAACCAGAAGAGGCAAAUCAUCAAGGAUGGAUGGGCAGACUAUGAAGGAGAAGUGAUAAGGUCUGAAGACAUACAGCUUGAACAGAAUUAUCCUGAGAAGACCGUAGCACCAAGUCAGGUGUGGAGAGAGAAGAUAACAAUACACGAAGAAGAGGCUCCACUGAAAGCACCGACUGCGCCACCCAAUGAAUCCCAAGACAACUAGAAAAUAGAGAGUCCCGUUCGGGGGACAUAAAAACACCGAACGCCUUGCCAAGAGGUAAACUUGGUAGUUAUCCUUUCCCUUUAUUUAAAAUAGUUUACUUAGUUAAUCAUGUUCAUACUAUCCUAAAAAGAAAAUAAAAAUGUUAAAAAACAGUAAGCCCCAUGUGAGUAUACGAGUGGCAUGAAACCCAUAAGUACAUUCACUGUGGUGGCAUAAAAAUAAAAUAAAUAUUUCUUUUCUGUUCUAUAAAAUGAAAAUAUAAAAAUAGAGAGUAAUAUUUAUUGAGGAGGCUCAACAUGAUAAAGGCUAGAUAUUUAUGCUAACACCUAAUCAGUUCUACAAAGCUUUGUUGUCUAUUUGAGCUCCACAGAAUUUAAGAAUCAAGAAGACUAGCACACGGAGGACAUUCUAAUCGUUGUCCGGAUACUGCCGACUUUCAAACACCUCUGGUACCUGCUAGCUAUAUCUGAAGAAAUUACGUCAAAAUUCAGCUUGGGGGAGAGCACCCCCAUUUAUCCUGCUAAGUAUUUCUAUCUAUCUUUAUACUUAUACUAUAAUAAAAUAUAAAUAUACAUAACUAUGGAAAACCAAAUAAAGAUUUUGUGCUUAUAUAUAUAUAUAUAUCUUUUGCUUAGUGUGCUUAAUAAAUAAACAAAGUGGCUAUGCUAAACUGAAUCUAAAAAAUAAAACUCUAGCAUGGAUAUGAUGAAUAGUUGCUCUGCCUAAUUUUUCAAAAUUUGAAGUUCUCUCUCAAGUUUAGACAUAACUGUUAUAAUUUAAAGCUUACUCUAAACCUGAACUUGUGGGAGGAGAACUUAAUCUGAAGUCUAGGUUGUUAACGGAUAUGAUAUGGGAAGGUUGAGCUGCUGUUUAUCUGUUCCUAGAGAUGCUAGAAUUCUGGAGAAUUUUAUCUUUGAAAAAUCUUUAAAAUACUACAUGAUGAGUUCCUGUAUGAUGAGAGUUUAAAUUACUACCACAGCCAUAUAUACAUGCUUGCUAGACUUUGAGCCACACAUUUACUUUUUACUACUUAUGAGCAUUGAGUGUGGUCAACCUGUGUAGACCCUUAGGAGCUUGUCAUGUGGUUAAAUCAAGAUUCACUUGCACGUUCACUCACACAUGCUACUUCUACUUCGGAAGUACGCUUCCACAUAUAUCCAUUCAUUUCCAUCUCCAGAACCACCCAAAAAUAUUCUACUCCUAAUCCGGGAGAGAAUAGCCAAAAACAUUUCUGUUUUCCCCUGUUAAAUAAAUGCUCAACUUAUCUUGGUUACUACCACUUGCUAUAUUAUUUCAUGAGAUGAGUGCUCUAAAAAAAACAAAUAUAAAGAAGAUACAAGGAAAUAAAAAGGGGCAAGUGUCCGGAACCUCGAAAGAAAAGAAAAAAGUGAGACGAGAGGAAAAAAUGGACAAGUGUCCGACAGUACAAUUAGGGGUACAAGAUACCCACCUGAGAGGAAUGAAAAACAAAAAAAUAUAGAGCAUCUCAUUCUCCGCACAAAGUUUCAAAGAGCAAGGAAGGUAUGUAUCCCCUCAAAGAGCAAAAGUAGAAUUAGACUUUCACCAUUGUUAUCAUCAUCAUCACCAUACACCAUUCAUUCGCCACACAUGCACAUCUUGAUUUGACUUAUUGGCUUGUUUAUUUGGAUCCAUGGUUUGACUAUGCAAUAAAUGUCUUGUAAGUAUGUAUACUUUAUCUCCCACCUAUGAGCUCCAGAUAUCAAAAGCCUUAUUAGAGUAAGAUGAGAGAGAAGGCAAUGUCACUAUGCCUUAUACUACAAAUACUACAUACUUUGAGAGAAGACAUAUACCAUCACUGCCUUGGUAAGGAUCCAGAAAUACCACAAAAGAGAGAUCUGAGAGAGUCAUACAAGGAAUCUCUGAGUUUUAUUUUAAAAUCUACAAAAACUUCAGAGCUAUAGCUGAUCAAGAAUAAGAGACAUGGCACUUGACUAGACUGUUCUAUCUUUUAACUACUCAAGACAGAAGUGACGGUUACAAGUCCCAUGGUAAAAGGUAAAAUAAAUAAGUUUUAAGUCUUGAUAGUUUACUCUAACUCAGAGAUGAGACCUCAUUUAGAAGCAUGAGUACCGUCAAUUUUCAAAGGCAUUACAACAACUUUUGAACCAUCGCUGAGAUUAUCCCUGCUCAGGGACGAGCAAGAGGUAAGCUUGGGGGAGUUUGUUGACGGUCCUUAAGUAUCAAAUUUAAUUAUCAAAUAAACAAAGAAAAGGAUCCAAAUGAAAUCAACAUCCAGACUUAGGGUUAUAUCUGACAGAAUUCCACAAGUUUUGGUGUUUGUCUAUUUUUGCAGGGGGUUAUCAGGAAAUACGGAAGAAAGGCCCACACGUCGGGAUUACAUAGAGAUAUUAAUGUGCCGUGCAAUUAUCUUACAUCUAGAAGAGUCCAGAAGCCGCGGGAACGAACGGGAAGGCGAUCGGGCCUGGGGGCAGGGCGCCCGCCCUCCCCCCUAGGGCUCCCGCCCUGACCUAGAGUUCAAUCUGGACUCGUUUCGAGGAUUAUGCUCCACCGACCUAAAGGAUCAAGGAUAAUCGUUCAAUCAAUGUCGGUUUGAUACGACGGCCCAUAUUCACUUGGAAGGACUAUAAAACCAGACCCCCUGGCCCCUGGAGGAGGGCACCUCUCAACCCUAAUUCAUUAUUCAUCAGGGAGAAGAAGCCUC
Molecule: long non-coding RNA, 9580 nt
Filed under: Sorghum bicolor (sorghum)
Lineage: Eukaryota; Viridiplantae; Streptophyta; Magnoliopsida; Poales; Poaceae
Description: long non-coding RNA (SBIC_LNC012695)
Source: RNAcentral